CUGCUGCCUCCCGUAGGAGUUUGGACCGUGUCUCAGUUCCAAUGUGGGGGACCUUCCUCUCAGAACCCCUAUCCAUCGCUGUCUUGGUGGGCCGUUACCCCGCCAACUAACUAAUGGAACGCAUCCCCAUCCCAUACCGAAAUUCUUUAAUAAUCCCAUCAUGCGGUAGGACUAUAACAUCGGGUAUUAAUCUUUCUUUCGAAAGGCUAUCCCCGAGUAUGAGGCAGGUUGGAUACGUGUUACUCACCCGUGCGCCGGUCGCCAUCAAAAG
RNAcentral lists this ribosomal RNA (271 nucleotides) under uncultured bacterium. RNAcentral's name for it is "partial 16S ribosomal RNA". The record is from RNAcentral.